Molecule: non-coding RNA, 144 nt
Organism: Gossypium raimondii (Peruvian cotton)
Lineage: Eukaryota; Viridiplantae; Streptophyta; Magnoliopsida; Malvales; Malvaceae
Source: Rfam
UGUUAAAAGUUUCAUCCAUUUGUACGGUUAUAAACUGACGUGACUAACGGAAUAAUUAGAUAAUAAUACAUUGCAUGCUAUGUGCACAUUAUGAUGACGUACAAGGACAAUUUUUAACCGUAGAAAUGGCUGAAAUUUUUAACA